AUUUAUUAUAAAUGAUAAAUAAGUAUUCAUUUAAUAUUGACAGAGGAAUGUACGUAAAAAAAAGAAAUGAAGAUAAUAUCGACGUCAUCCGGAUGUCAUCGAUCCAAUAGUGACGCAAUCCUUGAUAUCCCUAUUGUCGACAGCUGUAUUGGUUCAGACCAUUAACUUCCGGGAGUAGUUCCGUCCACAAAUGGCACAAAAAUGAGACAUUUUUAUACUUCUAUGAUAGCGUCCGUGUCUCUUUGCGCCCUUUACGUCGUGUGCGCACACAUCCGCCGCUCUCAUAAACUUCUACAAACAAAGACGCUCAAGUGCGAGAAACUUCCGAGUGUCGUGUAUCUUUUCCUGAGAUAUGUGAGCCGCGCACUGACUCGGAGAAAAGGCUGCUUGCACGAGAAGAAGAAAUGCAAGCAGGAAGUAGUUUGCACUGUCAAUAACUGCAGGCUGGACUUGCUGCUUUUGAGGAGGUUCUGCGAGGCCGCGGGAUAUGGUUGGGACUACCCAGACAGUCAACACAGAGACAUCCCUCUCUGUUUCCCCGUCUUUAUGUGCCAUCAACUGAUGAUUAUGGCCAUUACUGAUGACAACUUCCUGUUGAGCCCAGCUGGUCUGCGUUGUGUGCGUCAGAGCAUCAGAACCCGGCAACCAGUGGAUGAGCUGAAAAAAGGUCCUUUCAUGCUCCAGGUUCAAGUCCUGCUGUACAGACUUGUGGAUGCAGGCGUGGAAGUGGAUGUCCGUCUGUCGGCUUUUUCCCGACACAAAUGUCUUGUGUGGGAGAGCGUCGUCACGCUGCUGUCCGAAACCAAGCUGCCAAAGGCCGUCAAAGGUGGAGCCGAGAAGGAAAAUGAGGGUGAAAGUCAUGAAGUCGUGCUCACAGAUGCAAAGCAAGUGGAUCUCAGAGUUCCGCUGAGCACAGGCCCGCCGUGUCUCUGGUCCUUCUUCGACUGUUGGGUCGUCUUUCUGCCAGCUGCCCUCUUUGGCUUAAAUCUGCGUCCCGUUUCAAGUCUGUGGAUGUUGUCUGUCUGCCUGGCGGAAGUAGAGAAGCACAAUGGGGUUGGAGACGUCACAUCUCCAGUCAACGUCCUGGUCCAGUGGAAGGACCCUUUGCUGGCUCCAAGCAGAGUGAAGCUUUUGUUUUGGAAGUGUCCUACGCAAGAUCUCGUCUUUCAAAUGUGGCAACACAGCGGUCGCAGAAAGUGUCACCUAAUGGGAAAGAUAUCAAGGACUUAACAAAAAUGAGACCACUCCAGUUUAGCCGGGUGGUCACAUUGGAGCAUCACGUGACUUCCUGCCUGCACCGCCCGCUGUAAGGAGUUAUCGUGGAUGACGGGAGGGCGGGCGCCCAGCACCUCAGAUUCCCAAGCCAGGAACCAACAUCCAUUACUCGUACUGCAGAGCAGAGAGACAACAUAUCGUCCCUUUUUGGCCAUCUGACUUUUGACUACACAACUUGGCUCGAGAGGAAAAAGCACAUGAAGACGCACACACAGGAGGAGACUCCCUCACCCCCAGCAGGGGGCAGCACUGUGCAAGUGUGCCAUGAUUACCAGAAGGUGGUGUUGAAUAUGCAGUCUGCAUCAUGCAUGGAGCAGAAGUUCAGCACCAUGGAAGACGGCGCACAAAGGAGCUCCUUGUGGACCUUGGAUUCAAGCUCGCAGGUCUUCUCAGGUCCAGAAGACACCUCCACCGAUCCACAAGGGACCCGGACCGAGACUUCCACUCUGACUUUUGUUGACGGUCACGCCAUGGAGGAGUCGGGAGAGAACCCCAGCCUGCGUGAUCUGACCAGGCUUUACCUGAAAGACUUGGUGCUGAUAGAUGACGAGGAUGAUGGCGACAUGUCCCUGAGGGAGAAAACCGUCACCAACGUAUCCGUCAUGGACGGGAGAGCUGCAGACCUGGUCCGUGGCAGACUGCCUUCCACUUCUAGCCGCUCAGUGACCGAGUGCCAAAAUGAGUCUUGUGCUCCCAAAGUGUCUUCUCCUCAGCAGCACCGGUCUUCACGUGGAAACCAGCAAUGCUGCACCUGCAUCGUCCUCUGAUCACCAGUCUUGCAGUUGUUGUGUAUUUGUUGGUCGCGUGAUGGGUGAUGAGCCAAGAAGACGCCAACCGGGAACUGUCGAACAAAACGUUUUGUUUGUUUCAGCGAGCCUCAGACUAGAACUGCAGCUUCCAGGAGAAAUAGUAUGGGUCUGAUUACUUUUCUGUUGUGGACCACUGUCCAUGAAUACCUUUUUUUCCAUUCAUCCAUUUUCUACCGCUUAUUCCCUUUUGGGUUGCGGGGGGCGCUGGCGCCUAUCUCAGCUACAAUCGGGCGGAAGGCGGGGUACACCCUGGACAAGUCGCCACCUCAUCGCAGGGCCAACACAGAUAGACAGACAACAUUCACACUCACAUUCACACACUAAGGCCAAUUUAGUGUUGCCAAUCAACCUAUCCCCAGGUGCAUGUGUUUUGAAGUGGGAGGAAGCCGGAGUACCCGGAGGGAACCCACGCAUUCACAGGGAGAACAUGCAAACUCCACACAGAAAGAUCCCGAGCCUAGAUUUGAACCCAGGACUGCAGGAACUUCGUAUUGUGAGGCAGACGCACUAACCCCUCUGCCACCGUGAAGCCCAAUACCUUUUUCUUUUAAUUAUUAUUAAUUUAAAGGCCUACUGAAACUACCGACCACACAGUCUGAUAGUUUAUAUAUCAAUGAUGAAAUCUUAACAUUGCAACACAUGCCAAUACGGCCGGGUUAGUUUACUAAAUUGCAAUUUUAAAUUUUGGCGAAGUAUCCUGUUGAAAACGUCGGUCUGAUGACGCGUGUGCGUGACGUCUCGGAUUGUAGCGGACAUUUUCUUCCAGCCCUAUCCCAGCUAUAAAUCGUCUGCUUUAAUCGCAUAAUUACGCAGUAUUCUGGACAUCCAUGUUGCUGAAUCGUUCUAUUAAUAAUGGAGACGUCAAAGAAGAAAGACGUAGGUGGGAAGCGGUGUAUUGCGGCCGCCUUUAGCAACACAAACACAGCCGGUGUUUCCUUGUUUACAUUCCCGAAGGUGAAACUUUACUAUGGAACAGAGCGGUCAAGCGAACCUACCACAUGUCAACCGGCAGGUUUCGGUGUGAUAAUUGUGGUAAUAAGUCGUCUCUUACCGUAGACAUGAUCGGAGCUUGAGUCGUUCCUCGUGCACCUGUCAAGGAGGCAGCUGCGAUUCUCUUGCCUCCUCCGACCGGGCGCCCCCGAACGUGGGAUGCUUCCACCGGGGAGGAGGGGGAAAAAAAAUCUCAGCCCGGCCCCAACGGCUGCCUUCGCUUCGCCUCGUCGAGAAACGUGGCUUCCCUCAGAGACACUGGCGGUCAGCACACCCGUGGCCACACCCCUCCGACUUUCAGGAACCAUAUAAUCUCACUAAAACACUAGUAACGCAAUAAGCAGAUGGAUUUUCUAGAAUUAUCGUAGUAAAUGUGUCUAAUAACAUCUGAAUCGCUCCCACUGCCUUUGUCUUUUUUUUUCCUAGUCCUUCACUCUCACUUUUCUCAUCCACAAAUCUUUCAUCCUCGCCCAAAAUAUUGGGGAAAUUGUCACUUUUUCGGUCUGAAUCGCUCUCACUGCUGGUGGCCAUGAUUAUAAACAAUGUUCAGAUGUGAGAAGCUCCACAACCCGUGACGUCACGCACACACCGUCUGCUACUUCCGGUACAGGCAAGGCUUUUUUAUUAGCGGGCAAAAGUUGCGAAUUUUAUCGUCGAUGUUCUCUACUAAAUCCUUUCAGCAAAAAUAUGGCAAUAUCGCGAAAUGAUCAAGUAUGACACAUAGAAUGGACCUGCUAUCCCCGUUUAAAUAAGAACAUCUCAUUUCAGUAGGCCUUUAAAGUACCAAUGAUUGUCACACACACACUAGGUGUGGCGAAAUGAUUUCCUACAUUUGACCCAUCACCCUUGAUCACCGCCUGGGAGGUGAGAGGAGCAGUGAGCAGCAGCGGUAGCCGCGCCCGGGAAUAAUUUUUGGUGAUUUAACCCCCAAUUCCAAACCUUGAAGCGAGGAGGUAAUGGGUCCCAUUUUUUAUAGUCUUUGGAAUGACUCGGCCGGGGUUUGAACUCACGACGUACCAAUCUCAGGGCGUACACUUUAACCACAAGGCCACUGAGCAGGUUUUACACGAAGACCCCCACUCUUCAUAACCCCUUGGAGCCAGCCAGUGUGUUGCUUGGCCAGUCAAUCUAUUUCCCCUAAACAGUUUGAGUCGGGCGAAUUCCUCCCCCUAUCCUCUACUCCUAACUGUGAGGGCUUUUUAACAGAUAUUGCUAAUGUUUUUACACUUCCUCCUAUAAUCCACACCUGCAUUCCUGUAGGAUUCCAAUUUCCUGGGGGCAAGCACCACCACUCCCUGGAGAGCUUGUGAUGGACAUGCACUCUUUUGAAGCUACCUAAGGACACAUUUCCUAAGGAGGAAUAAUCCUCUAAAGGAUUAUUAAUUUUAAUUUAAGUCCAAAUAAAGUAAGACUUUCAAGUGAUUUUAUUCUUACCUGACUGCCUAAAGGGAGCUAACUAUAUAAUGUGCUCAAAGCUUUAUCUUCCCUCCUCUGCCUGAACUGAGAAAAUAAACUAUGCCACACACACACACACACACACACACACACACACACACACACACACACACACACAUUCUUGUGUUUGUUACCUUCUUGAGACCUCUGAAAAAUGCCUACCUCUUUAGGGCCACCCUUUCUUGAUAUAUAAAUUUGUGUUUACAACAAUAAUACAUACAUACUAUGCAAAUAUAAAACAGGUAAGCUUUUCGUAAAUUAUUAAAUUUUUUGUUUGUAAUUGUGUCAGUUUGUUGUUGACGAACCCCAAGAUGCAGAGAAGGAGGCAGGCAUUGAAUGAGAAAACAUGAUUUAAUAUAAAUACUAAAACAAGAACAAACAAAAAGGGUACAACAAAAAACGCAAGAGGCGGAUAACCAACUAAGAGAGCUAGCAUGGGAGCUAAAGAACAAAAGGAACUUAGCAUGGAAGCUAGCAAAAAAAAAAAGGGGCCUAGCGUGGAAGCUAGCGGGUAGUGAGCAGGAAAACAGAAGUCGUACUUGUAAUAUGAAAACAAACUGGAAGCAGGGAACAAAAAACAGUAAGCUACAAAUAUAGCUUAUCGCUACGCUGCAAAGACACGACACGGUACGACACAACAGGAGCGAUAAUACAUGACAUGAGAGCGACAUGACAAUCCAAUAAUCCAGCACUGACUGGAGAAACAAAGCAGGUAAAAUACGAGCAGGCUGAUUGACACCAGGUGUGGCCAGGUGCCAAUCAGCCGCAGCUGAGGGGAAAACGGCGCACAGGAGAAAAAACAGGAAACAGACAAAAGAAGAGCGCUGACAGGAACUAAAAACAGACACACACAGAGGAAAAACUAAAACACAACCAAACUAUCAGGGGCAAGCCUGACAAAUUGGUUUUUAAUCUUCAUUAUUUACUUCGUUAUUACAGUAUGUCUCUAUAUACAUAUUUAUUUUAUUGUUUUUUUUAAUUAAUUUUGGCCAAAGGGGGCGCAUUUCCAUUUCUUACACACACUUGUUAUUACAUAUGUUGACCAGAGGGGGAGCACUUUUAAAACCGACACAGUCGAUUUGAAAAAAUCCCUCCUGACAUUUUAUCUUGCCCGCACAAACCUGGAAAUAAUAUGUGUCAAUAAAGUACUUCAUAUUUUCU
RNA transcript from Nerophis ophidion (straightnose pipefish), 5690 nucleotides. RefSeq lists it as uncharacterized. The record is from RefSeq and is a predicted model, not a curated record. The transcript has 7 exons. Lineage: Eukaryota; Metazoa; Chordata; Actinopteri; Syngnathiformes; Syngnathidae.